Molecule: ribosomal RNA, 231 nt
Filed under: uncultured bacterium
Lineage: Bacteria
Description: partial 16S ribosomal RNA
Rfam family: Bacterial small subunit ribosomal RNA
Source: RNAcentral
CGGGUGAGUAACGCGUGAGGAACCUGCCUCAAAGAGGGGACAACAUUGGAAACGACUGCUAAUACCGCAUAAGCCCACGGCUCGGCAUCGAGCAGAGGGAAAAGGAGCAAUCCGCUUUGAGAUGGCCUCGCGUCCGAUUAGCUAGUUGGUGAGGUAACGGCCCACCAAGGCGACGAUCGGUAGCCGGACUGAGAGGUUGAACGGCCACAUUGGGACUGAGAUACGGCCCAG